UCUUUUCCAGCAGGAACCCUUUUCUCUUUUUUUUGUUUUUUUUCGUUUAAGAAUUUAGAAUUUACCACAAAAUUCAAACCUUUGCUGGUUGUACAGGAACCGCCGGCAGCUGUGACUCCGGGUCCUUUUGAGGACUGCAAAUGGGCGUAUAAUGCUGCUUGAUGGUGGGAUAGCAGCAGCUGCAAAGUCAGGCAGGCAUUCCCCCUUUUGUGCAUGGGUUUUAGUUUACAACCCGAAGCUCCAGUCCUGCAUAGACCCCCCUGCACAGAGCCGGCUGCUUGGAUAGGUCCUAAAUUCAAAUGAGGGCUAUAAAUAGAUAAAAAGGAGAAAAGAAAGACAACGCAUAGCAAGAACUCCCACCGUGACCUAGCAGAGCAUGUAUACACCUUGCUGGCUCUUGCAUUUGGGUUCUGUGUCGAAGAAAGGUUAAACUCGCUUCUCAUAGGUGGGGAAGCAAGGGGCAUUUAGCUUAAAGCAGAGAUGCAGCACGGCAGCACCGGUACCGAAAAUGCUCCCUCCACACCGGGAGAAUGGAAAGCACGGUGGGUUGAGUAGAUGCCACGGAAAAGCUCGAUGGGAUGGGAAGAUUUGUCAAACGAAACAUGCCCAAACAGAGGUAGUUCGGAGGUGAAUGAUUCAGAGCCUUGAAAGCAAGAACGAGCAACUUCAACAUAAUAUGCUGUGCCACGGGGACCCGGCGCAGGGAGUCAGACCAGGGUGAUGUGAGCAGCGUAAGAGAAGGAUGCAGGUUUGGUGCCAGCCUCUGAUGGGGGAGCGGGGCAGGCAAGGCAGGAAGGCAGGACUGGGGAGGAGAAAGCUGCAGAUACUUAGGCCAUAAACACGGCAGCUCAGUGUUGUUUGGGAAGAAGAGGCAGAGUUUUAAUUAUUGUGCAGGGAAAAAACCAAACAGACCAGGAUUAGUAAGUUCCUAGAUAUAGAAAAUAAAUUGUGUCUGAACAAAAUCACUGAAUUAAAAUACACGCGUGUCCAGACGCACGUCCUGGAUUGUUCUCAGUUUUGAGAGAAGCCCGUCACGUUACCCAGCGCGUAGCGAGGGUGGGGCGAGCAGGGCCUGGCCUCCUGUAUGUCUCUCCCCAUUAAGCUGCAUCUGCUCCAUCUGCGCUGAGCCCAAGAAUGCAUGCUUGAGUAAAAUAUUUUUACCAGAAAAAUAUCCAGUCUGGAUGUGAUGACCUCAGUAGGAAGAGAAUCUACCACUUCCCUUGCUCGUUUUUUCCCAGCGGUUAGUCACCCCCCUGGUAAGAGUCGCACCUUAUUUUCAACUUGCAUUUGUCUAGCUCCGGCUUUCAGCCACGGGUCUGUAUUUUUCUCCGCUACGUUAAAGUGCUCUUUAGCAUCCCAUAUUCUCUCUCAGGAUCAUACUUAGUCACUGUAAUCAAGUCACCUCUCCAAUCUUCGUUUUCAUAGGCUAAACACUUGUGCCCUGUAAAGCUCUCAAUAUAAGACAAUUUCUUUAGGCCUCUAAUUAUUCUUGUGACUCUUCUUUCAUCCUCUCCAACUCUUCAACAUCCUUUUAAAUAUAAAGACCCUAGAACAGCAGACACUUUCCCAGUAAUUGUAUUAGCAGUGCAGCAUGCAGAUGUGAAGUCACCGCUCUGCUGCAAGUCACGAUUCCCCAGGCCUGUAAAUAAGUCAGGGCAAGGAGGAAGGCAGGGUGUCACUGUUCACCCCCAGUCAAUUCCUCCCCCCCAUAGAAAUAAUAUGUAAUCCAGGUUUUUCUAGUCUAGCUUCUUAGUCUGAUUCUCCUCAGAUGAGUGUCUCGGUGGGCGUGUCUACAUGAGAUGUUUUACUGCACAGCACACUAAUCUGUUGCACAGUAAAGCAUCACAGCCCACACAUGCAGGUGCAUACUGCACAGUAAAUUAGUCUACUGCACAGUAAAUUUACUACCUGCUUUUGCAUCUACAUUUAUUGCACAGUAAAGCUAAAUGGCAUUCAUUGCACGUGUAGACGUGCCCAGUGUUAGGGCCACAGAAUAGUAGUCAAGGUCACAAUCCUGGUAGCUAGCGAGUACAGGUAGUGUAUGUGUGUGUGUGUGUGUGUGUCACUGACUGUUUCAGGCAAGUGAGGUGGAGAGAUGGCAUUACUUUGCUGCUCUAAUAAAAGGCGUGUAAUCCUAUUAAGAAAGCGUCUGCAGAAGCCUGCAGUGUGCAGAGCUACAAAGAGUGGUUUUAUUCUGGCGCUGCUGUGAACAAACCCUGCCUCCCUUUUUAGAGGAAAAAGGGGAAGGAGAAUGUAGUAAUACCUGCAAUACAUGCAGGGUUUGAAACACCAGACUCUUUUAAUAAACCCGUGGUUCUCAACCUUUUUAGACGCAAGGCACCGCUCACUAGACUUGGAAAAUGCCAGCUCUGAGUUUUCAUUUGAUUUUUAGUCUCCAGAAAAAUACCAGAGCGAUUCUUCUUUUGCAAAGAGCACAGACAGACAGCCCACAGCCGGGCAGGGUGGUUUUAACACUCUGGAUUCAUUCCUAUUUGAAAUCUCUGCAUUUAUCCUGUGAAUCAUGCUCGCACACCUAGCACCGCGUAGCACCCUGCAACACCCCCGAAGGGAUCGCAAGGUGCCCCAGGAGGCCACAACACCCUGGCUGAGAAUCACUGUAAUAAAUAUUAGACUCUACUUGACUUGUGACUUACACUAUGUACGUACAAGGGCGGUUGUCUCUGCCUACGCACUUUUCUCUGUCAAGUCUUUGUUCUAGGUCAUGUUUCCCCCAUGCAAAACUCUCUGAUGCUUUUGUUCCAGCUCCAAAGCUCCUGAGAUGAAGGGUGUCUGAACAGGGCGCGUCCAGCAUGAUCCUUCCCCUGCCAGACCCUCCAUGGCAGGCACCGUCCUUGGCUCCUAGGUGUCAGAGGAUACAUCCCUGACAGGUGCCACAACUGCUGCUUUGGUGUUCUUACCAACUGAAAGAAUCGGGCAUGAAGUGAGCAUCACAUAUGAAGGCCAGCACCUGGAAAGACUCGUGGAAAGAAUAUGUGCAGGGACUUGAAAAUCUUGAAAAUAACCUCUAUGGUCGGGGAGAGAUUCGAAGUCUGUAUUUUGUCAUGGCUAUGGCAGUCUGUCCAUUGAAACUAGAGGGCUGUUGGAGGCACAGAAUAAUCUAACUUUGUUCUUCAAAAUCAUUUCUCAUAAACUCGGCUAAGAAGUUUGUGCUCCUGCGAACAAUUAACGUCAAAGGAACUAAUUAGUGUACUUUGCUAGGAGUGUCAUGUUGAUU
Alligator sinensis (Chinese alligator) is the source of this 3235-nucleotide long non-coding RNA. RefSeq lists it as uncharacterized. The record is from RefSeq and is a predicted model, not a curated record. Lineage: Eukaryota; Metazoa; Chordata; Crocodylia; Alligatoridae. The transcript is spliced from 3 exons.